This 28-nucleotide small RNA is filed under the name Bombyx mori (domestic silkworm). RNAcentral's name for it is "ovarian small RNA-21050". Lineage: Eukaryota; Metazoa; Arthropoda; Insecta; Lepidoptera; Bombycidae. The record is from RNAcentral.
UACGCAGAUGUCCCUCGAUGUGUCCGUG